GGACGAAUUGGGUCAAUUUUAAGAGAGGUGCAUCAACCUUAUCAUGAAGCAAGACGCCAGGGAGCUCGGAAUCUUAAUCCCACACCGUACCAUGCUGAAUGCAUGGGGCACAAGGUUCACCUGGACCAAAACGAGAAACUUGUAAUGUUUGGA
Molecule: long non-coding RNA, 153 nt
Organism: Oreochromis niloticus (Nile tilapia)
Lineage: Eukaryota; Metazoa; Chordata; Actinopteri; Cichliformes; Cichlidae
Exons: 2
Source: RefSeq, a predicted model, not a curated record